AUACCUUUCUCGGCCUUUCGGCUAAGAUUAUCUGCUCUUUAUCAGUUUAAUAUCUGAUACGUGGGCCAUCGGCUCACAUGAUAUUAAAUUUAUUUUUUUGAGGGGGAGGGUCCAUGACAGUAGCUUGCUACUGGGGCUUUCGAGCGUCGCCCAUGCGUUGCACUACUGCUUGGGCCCGGCACGCCUCAC
This is a non-coding RNA of Gossypium hirsutum (cotton), 189 nucleotides long. The record is from Rfam. Lineage: Eukaryota; Viridiplantae; Streptophyta; Magnoliopsida; Malvales; Malvaceae.